This is a long non-coding RNA of Labrus mixtus (cuckoo wrasse), 437 nucleotides long. RefSeq lists it as uncharacterized. Lineage: Eukaryota; Metazoa; Chordata; Actinopteri; Labriformes; Labridae. The record is from RefSeq and is a predicted model, not a curated record. The transcript is spliced from 2 exons.
ACAGUUUUUCUCAGUCGCUUUGGUACAUUUCUCAGAUCAGAAUUGAAAUUCUCAAAACUACUUGUUCAAUCUUCACAUCAUUGUGUCACUUGUGCACAUCAAAAAAGCACCACACUUGUAGACCACGUUCUCAAUCAUGAGCUUACAAUGGCCGAGGCUGGUCGAAGGGUGCAGCCAAAUGUUGGGAGAACAACUGGAAAUACUGGAAAGUAUAUGAUCGCCAGCGUCAACGUCAGGAGGUGUAGGAAGACUGCACUGUAAUUCCUACAGCACUGCAUGUACAGUUUUCCCUAAGGAGAUUGUCCUAUGUUCACAUUUCUACUUUUGUUUUUUUGUUUUUUUCUUUGUGCUAUGCAGUGCUGUCUUUUCCUUUCUGUAUCGCAAUGACAUGGUCUGUCAACAAAUUACAGUACAAACAGUUAAAGCGUAAAUGUGAA